Molecule: ribosomal RNA, 774 nt
Filed under: Trichoderma koningiopsis
Lineage: Eukaryota; Fungi; Ascomycota; Sordariomycetes; Hypocreales; Hypocreaceae
Description: eukaryotic LSU rRNA
Rfam family: Eukaryotic large subunit ribosomal RNA (bases 526-774)
Source: RNAcentral
GGACAUUACCGAGUUUACAACUCCCAAACCCAAUGUGAACCAUACCAAACUGUUGCCUCGGCGGGGUCACGCCCCGGGUGCGUCGCAGCCCCGGAACCAGGCGCCCGCCGGAGGGACCAACCAAACUCUUUCUGUAGUCCCCUCGCGGACGUUAUUUCUUACAGCUCUGAGCAAAAAUUCAAAAUGAAUCAAAACUUUCAACAACGGAUCUCUUGGUUCUGGCAUCGAUGAAGAACGCAGCGAAAUGCGAUAAGUAAUGUGAAUUGCAGAAUUCAGUGAAUCAUCGAAUCUUUGAACGCACAUUGCGCCCGCCAGUAUUCUGGCGGGCAUGCCUGUCCGAGCGUCAUUUCAACCCUCGAACCCCUCCGGGGGGUCGGCGUUGGGGAUCGGGAACCCCUAAGACGGGAUCCCGGCCCCGAAAUACAGUGGCGGUCUCGCCGCAGCCUCUCCUGCGCAGUAGUUUGCACAACUCGCACCGGGAGCGCGGCGCGUCCACGUCCGUAAAACACCCAACUUCUGAAAUGUUGACCUCGGAUCAGGUAGGAAUACCCGCUGAACUUAAGCAUAUCAAUAAGCGGAGGAAAGAAACCAACAGGGAUUGCCCCAGUAACGGCGAGUGAAGCGGCAACAGCUCAAAUUUGAAAUCUGGCCCCUAGGGUCCGAGUUGUAAUUUGUAGAGGAUGCUUUUGGUGAGGUGCCGCCCGAGUUCCCUGGAACGGGACGCCACAGAGGGUGAGAGCCCCGUCUGGCUGGCCACCGAGCCUCUGUAAAGCU